RNAcentral lists this non-coding RNA (148 nucleotides) under Chlorocebus sabaeus (green monkey). Lineage: Eukaryota; Metazoa; Chordata; Mammalia; Primates; Cercopithecidae. The record is from Rfam by way of RNAcentral.
GCCAGGCGUGGUGACGGGCGUCUGUAAUCCCAGCUACUCGGGAGGCUGAGACAGGAGAAUCACUUGAAUCCAGGAGGCGGAGGUUACAGUGAGCCGAGAUUGUGCCACUGCACUCCAGCCUGGGUGACAGAGUGAGAUUCUGUCUCAG